RNAcentral lists this long non-coding RNA (570 nucleotides) under Mytilus galloprovincialis (Mediterranean mussel). Lineage: Eukaryota; Metazoa; Mollusca; Bivalvia; Mytilida; Mytilidae. The record is from RNAcentral.
UUUGAAUUGAUGAUCAUUGGUGAAGAUCCUAGGUGGCUACAACUUACAGUUUCUGAGUUUUAGUGGCCAACCGACAUUGGUUAAUUGUCAAAGGGGCAUAACCCUACCAAUGAGUCGUUGAAUAUUUUCGAUACAAAUGUAACGAAGAACGAUGGUCUGUUCCAGAACAAAUUCCACCCUUUCUUUUUUUCUACCUAUUAUGGUUAUGGAGUGAGAAUGGUAACAAGAUUUUCGGUGUUAGGGGAGAUAACCGUUAUAAAAGAAAUGUUACGGGGUCGUGUCUUCACUACAAGAUAGCUUUUGGUCAACCGAAACUAGACACCUAAUAUCAUUUCAACAUGUCGCGUACAUUUUUUGGAAAAUUUCGUUAAAGAUUGGCGGUGAGGAAUAAUAAUAAUCAGAAGAAAUACAGAAAAAAAGAAAGACCUUAAUUACAAGGAUUUUAUAGGAUUUUCAAAUAUGGCUUUUAAAACUAUAUGUAAUGAAAUGAUGAAAAGAAAAGAAGGGGUUAGCGGGGAUUUUUUUUUUUAACACUACAUGGAUUAAACCAGAGGAUUCCGAAUAUCUGGU